RNAcentral lists this ribosomal RNA (536 nucleotides) under uncultured bacterium. RNAcentral's name for it is "partial 16S ribosomal RNA". It matches the Rfam family "Bacterial small subunit ribosomal RNA", at positions 355 to 882 of the family's 1533-position model. The record is from RNAcentral.
UGGGGAAUAUUGGACAAUGGGCGAAAGCCUGAUCCAGCCAUGCCGCGUGUGUGAAGAAGGCCUUUUGGUUGUAAAGCACUUUAAGCGAGGAGGAGGCUACUUGGAUUAAUACUCUAGGAUAGUGGACGUUACUCGCAGAAUAAGCACCGGCUAACUCUGUGCCAGCAGCCGCGGUAAUACAGAGGGUGCGAGCGUUAAUCGGAUUUACUGGGCGUAAAGCGUGCGUAGGCGGCUUCUUAAGUCGGAUGUGAAAUCCCUGAGCUUAACUUAGGAAUUGCAUUCGAUACUGGGAAGCUAGAGUAUGGGAGAGGAUGGUAGAAUUCCAGGUGUAGCGGUGAAAUGCGUAGAGAUCUGGAGGAAUACCGAUGGCGAAGGCAGCCAUCUGGCCUAAUACUGACGCUGAGGUACGAAAGCAUGGGGAGCAAACAGGAUUAGAUACCCUGGUAGUCCAUGCCGUAAACGAUGUCUACUAGCCGUUGGGGCCUUUGAGGCUUUAGUGGCGCAGCUAACGCGAUAAGUAGACCGCCUGGGGAGUA